CUGAUUUCAGGUACUCACUUCAGUGCGGCUGCCUUAUACCUUUUGACAGAUCCUCUUCACUUUAAAAAUGGAUGUAGGCAAAGGAUUAACUAAUUUGGAACUGAGCAUGGGCCUUCAGCUUGCUACGUUCCAGCAAUAUAAAGGUUUGGACGACAAGAUGACCAAACAGGCGUUCAUGAAUUUAUGCAAGGAGCAGCUGCCUAGUUUGGCUGAAGACUCUAAACUUGAAGAAGCAUUCAAAUUGGUGGACGUUAACAGCGAUGGGUACGUGUCAUUUUCCGAGUACACCGCUUUGCUCACCACAUUGUGCUGUGCAACGAUGGAAAUCUUCGAGAGCAUGUCAGUGGCAGCAGGGGAGCAGCAGCGAAAAAAAUAAACUGCAAUAAACAUGAAAACACGUUAAAUGGGAAAUAAACAUGGUUUCACCUAACAAUAAUAAAAGUGUUUUUGUUCCAAUUUUGCUUGCUUUUUUGUUAUCAUUCCAAGUAAAAAUUUAGAACAUUACUACAUAGACUUUAAAAAACAUCAUAUAUAAUGUUGUCUUCCAGCACUUCUCAGCAGCAUAAAACUACAAUCCAAAGUUAUAUAAUUAAUUCAAUAAUGCCAACUGGACCUGGAAAAAUUUCCAUGUCUAAAAUCACUAUAUAAUAACCAACUAACUA
Molecule: long non-coding RNA, 662 nt
Organism: Centropristis striata (black sea bass)
Lineage: Eukaryota; Metazoa; Chordata; Actinopteri; Perciformes; Serranidae
Exons: 3
Source: RefSeq, a predicted model, not a curated record